UCUUCGUUUCUUGCCGCCUUUUUUCUUCCUCCUGUUCUCGUUCGUCUAUUUUUCGUUACUCUGUUCUUGUUUGCCGCGUUUUUCAUCGUGAAUUUCUCUGCGCGGCCCUUAAGAUCGCCUUCCUCAGUGUGAAAUGGAAGCGUUUCGAGUCAUAGCUGCGCUACAGCGAAUACUCUUUCCGGAGAAUCCCAUUAGGGUUUUCCUUCUGGAAUUCUCUCCAUUUCCCAUUUGACCUUUUUUUCGAGGCAUUUGAUCUCCGCCUUUGGAUCUCCUACUUCCUUUUUUCUGGAACCCUAGCGACUUGGCUUCUCUGCUGUUUCGUUAGUUUAGUUUCAGAUGAUUGGAGUUUCAGACCCGUGUGGACAUUUUCUAUGUCUCGCUUUAAGUUUUCAUGAUUCUUAGUGUAAGCCUGAUGAUUGUGUUAAGAACGGAGAUUCGAAUGGUGCUUUUGUGGAAGCCUAAUUAGUUUUCGGGCUCCAAGAGUAUUGCAUGUGACAAAUCUAAAGAACAUCAAAUGAAGGCUUAGGCUGGUGAAUCCUAUUAUAACAAUAAUUCUUUUCGUUCUUGUUAUUUAUGUAUAAAUACUCUCUUUGGCUUUUAACGUUUGUAGUUCAUUCCGACAUAGGAAAGGAAUUUGAACCCUUUGAUUUUGUUAUGAUUACGAAUUCAUAUUGAACUCCUCCGAUCUUCUACUCAGUAAUAAGCUUGUGAUUUAAUUGUAUUUUUUUGUUGUCGUGUAUUGAUUUGGUUUAAGUUUGGAUAUUCGAUCAUGAAUUUUCAGAAUAAUCAACGAGGUUGUUGAUCACAAGAUGAAGAAAAGCCUCUGCCGCUUGUGUCUUAUGGGCCAAUUUUUUAGAGAGAUGAAUUUCUGGUUUUUUAUAAAUACGCAGAAACUAACGUUUGUGGGAACUAAUGUGUCCAGAUGAUUAUUACUCCCCUACUGUACAAUUAUUGUACUCGUAUGUUUCAAUCAUUACAUUCUUUAAUUGGGAUAUUUACUCUCGCUUAUUUUAGUUCA
Long non-coding RNA from Momordica charantia (bitter melon), 1018 nucleotides. RefSeq lists it as uncharacterized. NCBI's taxonomy places the organism in Eukaryota, Viridiplantae, Streptophyta, Magnoliopsida, Cucurbitales, Cucurbitaceae. The record is from RefSeq and is a predicted model, not a curated record.